ACUCCUACGGGAGGCAGCAGUAGGGAAUCUUCCACAAUGGACGAAAGUACUGAUGGAGCAACGCCGCGUGAGUGAAGAAGGGUUUCGGCUCGUAAAACUCUGUUGUUAAAGAAGAACAUAUCUGAGAGUAACUGUUCAGGUAUUGACGGUAUUUAACCAGAAAGCCACGGCUAACUACGUGCCAGCAGCCGCGGUAAUACGUAGGUGGCAAGCGUUGUCCGGAUUUAUUGGGGCGUAAAGCGAGCGCAGGCGGUUUUUAAGUCUGAUGUGAAAGCCUUCGGCUCAACCGAAGAAGUGCAUCGGAAACUGGGAAACUUGAGUGCAGAAGAGGACAGUGGAACUCCAUGUGUAGCGGUGAAAUGCGUAGAUAUAUGGAAGAACACCAGUGGCGAAGGCGGCUGUCUGGUCUGUAACUGACGCUGAGGCUCGAAAGUAUGGGGUAGCAAACAGGAUUAGAUACCCUGGUAGGAUAGCG
This 475-nucleotide ribosomal RNA is filed under the name uncultured bacterium. Its description in RNAcentral is "bacterial SSU rRNA". It matches the Rfam family "Bacterial small subunit ribosomal RNA", at positions 335 to 802 of the family's 1533-position model. The record is from RNAcentral.